RNAcentral lists this ribosomal RNA (449 nucleotides) under uncultured bacterium. RNAcentral's name for it is "partial 16S ribosomal RNA". It matches the Rfam family "Bacterial small subunit ribosomal RNA", at positions 29 to 523 of the family's 1533-position model. The record is from RNAcentral.
AACGAACGCUGGCGGCAGGCCUAACACAUGCAAGUCGAGCGAGACCUUCGGGUCUAGCGGCGGACGGGUGAGUAACGCGUGGGAACGUGCCCUUUGCUACGGAAUAGCCCCGGGAAACUGGGAGUAAUACCGUAUGUGCCCUUCGGGGGAAAGAUUUAUCGGCAAAGGAUCGGCCCGCGUUGGAUUAGGUAGUUGGUGGGGUAAUGGCCUACCAAGCCGACGAUCCAUAGCUGGUUUGAGAGGAUGAUCAGCCACACUGGGACUGAGACACGGCCCAGACUCCUACGGGAGGCAGCAAGGGGGAAUCUUAGACAAUGGGGGAAACCCUGAUCUAGCCAUGCCGCGUGAGCGAUGAAGGCCUUAGGGUUGUAAAGCUCUUUCAGGUGGGAAGAUAAUGACGGUACCACCAGAAGAAGCCCCGGCUAACUCCGUGCCAGCAGCCGCAGUAA